UAGGUGCUAAAUAAAUGUGCAGUAUCAAGAA
This 31-nucleotide non-coding RNA is filed under the name Mus musculus (house mouse). Lineage: Eukaryota; Metazoa; Chordata; Mammalia; Rodentia; Muridae. The record is from RNAcentral.